Molecule: long non-coding RNA, 909 nt
Filed under: Micromonas pusilla
Lineage: Eukaryota; Viridiplantae; Chlorophyta; Mamiellophyceae; Mamiellales; Mamiellaceae
Description: long non-coding RNA (MPUS_LNC000034)
Source: RNAcentral
ACGGGCAUCCAAAAAGAGCCUGUCGCGUACAAGUUUUUAGGACAGAAAGUUCAUAACUGAAAUAGGUUGGAGAAGCACACUGAAACGAACGUGCCGGAGGUUAGAGACGAAGAAUCGUCACGAGGCUCAUAACCGGUCUCAAACGAUUUGACUACGAAAUUGACGUCUCGUUCGAGGUCGGUAAGGACGUCAGUCUGGAGCGCUUCGGAAACCACCGAGCCACCGGUUGAACAAGUACCCGUCAAAAGCAUGGACAGGUUAUAUGAAUGUCAUUAUUACUUCUUGAACAAUCUCUGCCUACUUCAUUCUUCCUCAGGAAACCAGUAUUUCCACUCGCCGUGGAACUCGCUCGGUACCUCGAAGGUACGGAAGUACACUACGUGUACACGUGUACACGUACGUGUACACUUACGUGUAGGUUGUACGAAAGUACUUCCGGAAGUACCUUCGUACCUUCGUACAUACAGCUUUUAUUCACAAGCAAGCAAGGGGAUAUUACGAAGGUACAGUAUGGAUGUACAUACAUUGGCUAUUAAUAAAUAAAAAUAAAUAAUGCAACUAUCAUGCAUCUCAUACUGUACGUAUCAUAGUAGUGUACAACGUUGUACUUUCGAAAGUACCUUCGUAGUUGAGUAUGAGAGUACACUAUUUUAUCUUCGAUCGAAGGUACUCGUGCAACGUUGUUUGUGUACAACGCGUUACACCUGUAGCCCUACAGUAGGGCUACAACGUUGUACACUAAACGUAUUUUUAUUUACUCGCCGAAGGCGAAGACUUUUUUUGAGUACGUGUACACGUACGUGUACAAUCGUUGUACUCGGAAAUAGAAUGUGGAUAAAUACCUUCGUAGGUACUUUCGUACUUUCGUACACGUGUACACGUACAUUAUGUACAUAAAGGCAUACAAGG